AUUGAACGCUGGCGGCAGGCCUAACACAUGCAAGUCGAGCGAGCGGCGGACGGGUGAGUAAUGUCUGGGAACCUGCCUGAUGGAGGGGGAUCACUACUGGAAACGGUAGCUAAUACGGCAUACCAUCAGAUGUGCCCAGAUGGGGUUAGCUAGUAGUUGGGGUAACGGCUCACCUAGGCGACGAUCCCUAGCUGGUCUGAGAGGAUGACCAGCCACACUGGAACUGAGACACGGCCCAGACUCCUACGGGAGGCAGCAGUGGGGAAUAUUGCACAAUGGGCGCAAGCCUGAGGCAGCCAUGCCGCGUGUGUGAAGAAGGCCUUCGGGUCGUAAAGCUCUGUCAGCGGAGAGGCGUUACCCGCAGAAGAAGCACCGGCUAACUCCGUGCCAGCAGCCGCGGUAAUUC
This 406-nucleotide ribosomal RNA is filed under the name uncultured bacterium. RNAcentral's name for it is "partial 16S ribosomal RNA". It matches the Rfam family "Bacterial small subunit ribosomal RNA", at positions 30 to 526 of the family's 1533-position model. The record is from RNAcentral.